CAACGGGUGAGUAACGCGUGAGGAACCUGCCUCAAAGAGGGGGACAACAGUUGGAAACGACUGCUAAUACCGCAUAAGCCCACGGGUCGGCAUCGACCUGAGGGAAAAGGAGCAAUCCGCUUUGAGAUGGCCUCGCGUCCGAUUAGCUAGUUGGUGAGGUAAUGGCCCACCAAGGCGACGAUCGGUAGCCGGACUGAGAGGUUGAACGGCCACAUUGGGACUGAGACACGGCCCAG
RNAcentral lists this ribosomal RNA (236 nucleotides) under uncultured bacterium. RNAcentral describes it as "partial 16S ribosomal RNA". It matches the Rfam family "Bacterial small subunit ribosomal RNA", at positions 101 to 334 of the family's 1533-position model. The record is from RNAcentral.